This 391-nucleotide unclassified non-coding RNA is filed under the name soil metagenome. Its description in RNAcentral is "partial contains 5.8S ribosomal RNA, internal transcribed spacer 2, and large subunit ribosomal RNA". The stretch from base 1 to 122 matches the Rfam family "5.8S ribosomal RNA", at positions 35 to 154 of the family's 154-position model. The record is from RNAcentral.
GAUGAAGAACGUAGCGAAAUGCGAUACUUGGUGUGAAUUGCAGAAUCCCGUGAACCAUCGAGUCUUUGAACGCAAGUUGCGCCCGAAGCCAUUAGGCCGAGGGCACGCCUGCCUGGGCGUCACACGUCGUUGCCCCCCCAUCUACUCCUUCGGGAUUGCGGGGGGCGGAUGAUGGCCUCCCGUGCGCCUCGUCGCGCGGUUGGCAUAAAUGCCAAGUCUUCGGCGACGCACGCCACGACAAUCGGUGGUUGCGAAACCUCGGUUGCCCGUCGUGUGCGGUCGUCGCGCAUCGAGGGCUCGAAAAAAUUGCCGGGCUCCGGCUCGGCUUUCAACGCGACCCCAGGUCAGGCGGGGUUACCCGCUGAAUUUAAGCAUAUCAAUAAGCGGAGGA